Molecule: ribosomal RNA, 445 nt
Filed under: uncultured bacterium
Lineage: Bacteria
Description: partial 16S ribosomal RNA
Rfam family: Bacterial small subunit ribosomal RNA
Source: RNAcentral
CCCAGACUCCUACGGGAGGCAGCAGUGGGGAAUAUUGCACAAUGGGGGGAACCCUGAUGCAGCGACGCCGCGUGGGUGAAGGAGCACCUCGGUGCGUAAAGCCCUAUCGGCAGGGAAGAAACAGACGGUACCUGACUAAGAAGCCCCGGCUAACUACGUGCCAGCAGCCGCGGUAAUACGUAGGGGGCAAGCGUUAUCCGGAUUUACUGGGUGUAAAGGGGGCGCAGACGGCAGCGCAAGCCAGGAGUGAAAGCCCGGGGCCCAACCCCGGGACUGCAUUGGAAACUGCGAGGCUGGAGUGUCGGAGAGGCAGGCGGAAUUCCUAGUGUAGCGGUGAAAUGCGUAGAUAUUAGGAGGAACACCAGUGGCGAAGGCGGCCUGCUGGACGAUGACUGACGCUGAGGCUCGAAAGCGUGGGGAGCAAACAGGAUUAGAUACCCGCGUA